AUUGAACGCUGGCGGCAGGCCUAACACAUGCAAGUCGAGCGGAUGAAGGGAGCUUGCUCCUGGAUUCAGCGGCGGACGGGUGAGUAAUGCCUAGGAAUCUGCCUGGUAGUUGGGGAUAACGUCCGGACACGGGCGCUAAUACCGCAUACGUCCUGAGGGAGAAAGUGGGGGAUCUUCGGACCUCACGCUAUCAGAUGAGCCUAGGUCGGAUUAGCUAGUUGGUUGGGUAAAGGCCUACCAAGGCGACGAUCCGUAACUGGUCUGAGAGGAUGAUCAGUCACACUGGAACUGAGACACGGUCCAGACUCCUACGGGAGGCAGCAGUGGGGAAUCUUGGACAAUGGGCGAAAGCCUGAUGCAGCCAUGCCGCGUGUGUGAAGAAGGUCUUCGGAUUGUAAAGCACUUUUAGUUGGGAGGAAGGGCAGUAAGUUAAUACCUUGCUGUUUUGACGGUACCAACAGAAUAAGCACCGGCUAACUUCGUG
RNAcentral lists this ribosomal RNA (484 nucleotides) under uncultured bacterium. Its description in RNAcentral is "partial 16S ribosomal RNA". It matches the Rfam family "Bacterial small subunit ribosomal RNA", at positions 30 to 507 of the family's 1533-position model. The record is from RNAcentral.